This 1917-nucleotide ribosomal RNA is filed under the name Triticum aestivum (bread wheat). RNAcentral describes it as "partial small subunit ribosomal RNA". Lineage: Eukaryota; Viridiplantae; Streptophyta; Magnoliopsida; Poales; Poaceae. The record is from RNAcentral.
AUGACAUAUGGGAUAAAAAAAACAUGGGAGCUGGUCAAGACCGCUUUGGUGUGUAACAAUUGUGGAAGCAGGAUAAUCACAACUACUCGUACACUCGAAGUUGCCACAAUGGCCAGUGAAGUAUACAAGCUACAACCACUUUCUCUUGAUUUAUCCAAGGAUUUAUUUCAUAGAAGAUUAUCUUGUGCUGCAAUAGAAUGGAAUAAUCAUCUUCCAGCAGUGGUAUAUGAUAAAAUUUUACAUAAAUGUGGUGGUAUACCAUUGGCUAUAAUCACAAUAGCUAGUUUGCUUGCUGGUAAACCUGUGGAGUUUUGGUCUAAGGUAUACACUUCAAUUGGUUUUGGGCAUGAAGAAAAUGAAGACGUGGAGAACACGAGGAAAAUACUUUUAUUUAGCUAUUAUGAUCUACCUUGUCACCUCAAGACUUGCUUAUUGUAUCUGAGCAUAUAUCCUGAAGAUCAUCUGAUCGAAAAAGAUAGUUUGAUAUGGAAGUGGGUCGCCGAAGGUUUUAUCCAUGAGGAACCAGGGGUAGGACUAUUCGAGAUUGGUGAGAGGUACUUCAACGAGCUGGUGAACAAAAGCAUGAUAAUGGCGGUAGAGGGAGAUGAGCAUAUUGGCAUCAUAACUGGGUGUCGUGUCCAUGACAUGAUGGUUGAUAUGAUAUGCCUAUUGUCGAAGGAGGAAAAGUUUGUUACUGUAUUGGAUAGUAAGGAGCAAUAUACAACUUCACAUCGCAAUGCUCGUAGGCUAGUUGUUCAUCGUAGAGCCCAGCCCCUGGCUAGCACGUCAACAUUACAAGCAAGGUCAUUUAAUGCCAUGUGCAGUGUUGAUUUGUUGCCAUCACUUUCAUGCUUUCAAGUUUUGCGUGUCCUAGCUUUGGAAGGCAAUGACACUUUGGAUAAGUGUAGCUAUAAGCUUGAGCAUGUUGGAAAGUUAGUUCACUUGAGGCACCUCAAACUAGGGAGGAUUGGUAUCAGUGAGCUCCCAAAGGAAAUAGGACAUCUGAAGUUCUUGCUGGUAUUGGACUUGGGUAGAAAUAGCAUAAGUGAACUUCCAGAGAGUAUUGGUCGAUUAAGUGAACUGAAGUGCUUGAACAUCUGCGAAACAGACAUUGAAGUGCCAUACUGGAUCGGAAAUUUGACAUCUCUGGAAGAGCUGUGCCUAGGACGAGUUCAUGGGCACUCCAACUUUGUGACAGAGCUGGGCAAGCUGACAGAGUUGAGGAAGCUCCACAUUUUUAAAAGCGUAUAUGUAUAUGGUGGUAGCAGAAUGAAUAGUUGGGCCGAGUCUGUAGCCAAACUGAGCAAGAUCCAAGUCAUAGACAUUGAUUUAGUUGUCGGGUGUAGAGAUUCCAGUCACGAAGAGAACCCCUGGGAACGGAUUGUUCUGUCUCCACAAAUACGUGUUCUACACAUGUCCUACCUAGAACCUGGGAUGGUGGCGAGGAUCAAUCCCUCGCUUCUUCCGAACCUGUCCCAUUUAAAACUGCAUGUAUGCAGUCCAGAACUGGAGGUCUUUGGAAGUUUUCGAGAGCUUGUUGCCCUCAAGCUGGAGACGGUGUCAACUCUCCACCAUGACACCAUUGGUGCGUUCCCCAAGCUGAGGUUCUUCAGGACAGAAGCAACGCUUGACUCGUUUCAAGAGGGGGAUAUGCCGGUCCUUGAAUCACUCCAGUUUGAGGUGGUAGCACAGUCCAGUGAUGAUGGCAUUAGCUUUGGCUUUGACUUUGCUAGCCUAGGGAACCUCCCUUUGCUUAAGAGAGUCGUCGUCACUUUAUAUGCCCCUCGUGCGGACGACGAGAAGGCUAAGGAAACGGUGAGGAAGGCAAUGGAUAUGCUUCCCAACCGUGUCGAGCAUUCUAUCAUACCAAGGGCUACAGAGAACUGGCGUCGGAGAUUAAAACACCGAUUGAGCUAA